CACGUGUGCACACAACCAAGCAGACACGGACUGUAAACACGAGUGAGACAGAAGAAGAUAGUUUUAUACCGGAGAGGAACGUCUGAGCAGCCGUGUUUGUAAUGAUAAACUAGCAAAGCUCUUAAGUCUCACUUAUUGGGCCUGAUGUUAGUCACUGAUGUUCGUGUGUGUGAGCCACGGCAGACUCCACUUCCUCCUGUGCCAUGCUAUUGUUAGCUUCUCAAACACGGGAGCUCUCUGAAUAGAUACUUUGAAACCAUCAGCCACUGGAAAGUGAUGAAGAUGCCAGAAAAACAAAUGAGCUGAGAGUAGAAACUUCAACAAUAAGCCAUUGAUGAAGAUGACAGCCAAACAGAAGAGCAGAGAGCAGAAACUUUUAAUGAAGCACAGGUGAGACGAAACUACAACCAUUACUCUUUUUCUGUCUCUGAAACUACACAACCUUCACAGUCUUAUCUCUUCUUUUUCUGAUGUUUUUGAUGACUAAUGGACUUUUGUUCUUCCUCUAUGGUCCAUCAUGUUCACAAAAGAGCUCUCAGAGCAAUGAUGACGCUGGCAGCCAAACAGAAGUGCAAAGAGCAGACCUUUCCACAUUGGAACAGAAAGAACUUCAGCAUAUUGCUCACCUGUGGAACACCCACAUCAUUCAGAGAAGCAGAAAUGCAGUUGCACCUAGUGGCCGGCCUCACAUGAUGUACAUGCUUCCUCAGCUUUUUGGGGAAAGGACCAUCUCAAACAUGCAUCUGUGCAAGCAGUACAAACAUGCAGAGCACAAUGCAUACAACGAGGACCUUACCCAUGUGAUGAGACUGCCAUCCACUGGAAGGAUAAGGUCCCACGUGGUCAGCCGAUGUGGGCGUCGUUUGGAUUUUACCGAUGCCCGCCCCCCAAGCAAAGGCCACAGCCCCCCCACCAGCAUCCCGGGCUGACAGGAGACUCCCACGCCAAACCCAACGGGAGAGCAGGCGCAGGGCGAAGGUGGAGGAGGGGGGGGGGACGAGACAGGGGACAGAGAGCAAGAGGAAAGAGUGGCAGAGAAACAUGCAGGCCCCCAGCCCCAAGGGCCACCCAGACGUGGACGGAGGAGGCAGGAGAGUAACACCAAACCACCCAGGGACCACGAGAGCACCCGAAAGGGACGCCCGCCCGCGCAGAGGCACCCAACACACCCCAGCAAGCCACCCAGGUCAAGGCCACCCCACAAGCCCAUGGAGGUCCAGGACUACAGUUAGAUCAGUGUGUUAGUAAAGAGUGGUGCUGGCAGUCGCUUGCAGGCUAGAUCAUCAGGCUAAAAACGAAAAAUCAAGAUUCAAUGUAAUUAGACCUGUAUAUAUUGUUGAAACAACAACAAAAAGAGGCUUUAAAACUGUAAGUCUGUACCGUACCACACAAUGUUUUCAUCUGGUGGCUCUGUUUAGGGAAAAAGAACUACGCUUGUCACGCUAUUGUCGUCAGGUCCGCUCAUCGUUUGAGUGGUUUGCGUGUUUGUCCCGCUCCGCUCAGCCACCAGAACUCAAUCGUCUGGUGAGCACUUCCAGAUUAAUCACCUUUAUGAAAAAUACAAGGAGAUUAAGAUAGAUUCCAGGCUAGCCCACUCAUGUCUUUUGCACCAAGGCGAGGCAAAUUUAUUUGUAUAGCGCAUUUCAUACACAAGGCAACUCAAUGGGCUUUACAUGAUCAAAAAGUGCAACAAGAAACAUUCAACAGCUUAAAAUCAAUAAGAACAUUAAAGUCAGCAAAAAAUAAAAAUAAUCAAUAAACAUAUUACA
This is a long non-coding RNA of Gouania willdenowi (blunt-snouted clingfish), 1769 nucleotides long. The record is from Ensembl. Lineage: Eukaryota; Metazoa; Chordata; Actinopteri; Blenniiformes; Gobiesocidae.